AUACGGAGGAUGCAAGCGUUAUCCGGAUUUAUUGGGUUUAAAGGGUGCGUAGGCGGACAGUCAAGCAGGGGGUGAAAUGCCGGCGCUCAACGCCGGAGCUGCCUUCUGAACUGGCUGUCUGGAGUGGCAGUGCCGUUGGAGGAAUGAGUGGUGUAGCGGUGAAAUGCUUAGAUAUCACUCAGAACACCGAUUGCGAAGGCAUCUGACGAACUGCCCACUGACGCUGAGGCACGAAAGCGUGGGGAUCAAACAGGAUUAGAUACCCUGGUAGUCCACGCAGUAAACGAUGAUGACUAACUGCCGGCCCGUCGCGGGUCGGUGGCCGAGCGAAAGCGAUAAGUCAUCCACCUGGGGAGUACGACCGCAAGGUUGAAACUCAAAGGAAUUGACGGGG
Molecule: ribosomal RNA, 394 nt
Filed under: uncultured bacterium
Lineage: Bacteria
Description: partial 16S ribosomal RNA
Rfam family: Bacterial small subunit ribosomal RNA
Source: RNAcentral